Molecule: long non-coding RNA, 3501 nt
Organism: Lotus japonicus
Lineage: Eukaryota; Viridiplantae; Streptophyta; Magnoliopsida; Fabales; Fabaceae
Exons: 8
Source: RefSeq, a predicted model, not a curated record
CAUCGUUAGAACUUUGAAGUAACUAGUCUCACUCUCAUCUCUCUGUCACCCGUUUCGUUCGUGUGUUUUCUCUGUCUCCGAAACGAUCUCGCCACCGUAGAGGAGCGAUCUCACCACCGCAUUCCUCUUCGUCAUCCGGCAUACUGCCCCUCUCUCCGGCGUCCGUCGUCUUGCAAAGAGAAGAGAGAGCCAGGAGCGAUUCACUUCUCGUUUUGCCCUAAUCUUUGGUUUCCGAUACAUACUCCUUCUCGAUCUCACAUGAUUACCUGAACCAAUCUUCUCUGUCUGGUUCAGUCGCAGAAAAUCUUGUGCUAAGAUUCGUUGAUCGGAGAAACCUCCACCUUCGGAACCAUGAUUUCGAGAUAUGGCUGAGGUGAAAUCAGAGGAGUGUUGUUUGGAGAAAAAGCAAACUACUGUUGUGUCUUGCUCCUCUGUAUCUGAAGGCAGUGGCAGUGCACUUCACAAGUCUCCGGGGAUAUGUAGCCCGGCAGUGACAUCGCCCUCACAUCGGAGGACCACUGGCCCUAUAAGACGUGCUAAAGGUGGUUGGACUGCAGAGGAGGUUCAUGUGUAGAGGAGGCCAAGUCAGAGCCUAAUUACAACACCUAGAAAGGAGACCCAUACAUGUUUCAGGAGCCGAGUUAGCUGGGAAUUUAUAUGCUUCUUGAAUACUGAUCAAAGAGGACAUUGAGUAUAUAUUCAUGUUCACAACUCACAAGUAUUCAAUGAAGAUAAGGAACUGUAAUCUUAAUUUAAAGGUCUGGCCUACUUUUGGAAAUAUUUUCAUGAUUAUAGUGAGAUGUCACAAGUUUAUAGACCUUCCCAUUGAGAUAGGGCAUGAAGUAUGGUGUAACUUGUCAGAUCAGUUCAGGGUGGUGGUAGAUCUUCUGCAAGAGAAACUAUUGGAAGGGUUGCUUCUGGUGCUGUUGCUAAGAAAAUCCUUAAGAACUUUCCAAAACUGAGAUUAUGUCUCUCAAGUUCACAAGGUAGUAGUUCUUCCUGACGACCUAAUUGAUCAUGGCAAACUGACCCUUGAUCGGGUAUUAAAGGUUGCUUCUUCAUAUUUAUAUAUGGGUUUUGGUUCACCUGUAUUUGACAAACUUGAAGCUGAGCUGGCUAAAGCUGUUAUGUCACACCUGCAACUAAGGGCAUUCAAUUAGGUAGUGGGUUUGCAGGUAUUUAUUAUUGCUCAUAUAUAUGACUUAUCUGGGUGCUUUUGUCUGGUUAUUUAAACCUACGUAUGACUUUUUUUUUAUGGUUCCUCACAUAUAGGACUUUGAAUGUCUUUGCCUUAUUAGUUUGAUCUGACUAAACAGGGUCAAACUUGAUGUAUAUGCACUUAUUUGCUUUUUUUUAUAAUUUUUCUUUCUUAUUUUCACCUAUUCCAUUUGUGUUGGUGAAUGUUUUAGUUCAGUUGUAUUACAAUUUUUCCAGUGUUAUUUUUCUUUUAUAGAUUGUAUUUAGGAACCAAAUCUUGUAAUUUUAGACCAUUUGUCUUAGGUUUUGAGUUGUAAUUUUUCUUUUUCUCUCUUGUUAGACUUUGGACUUUCCUUUUUGGAUCCUUUGGUUGAUCUUUAUUGUUUGUUUUUUGUUUGUUUGUGUGGGUGAGUAUAGACAUUGGACACUAUUAUAAAUAAGAUCCUUUAGAGUGACCUUCCAAGCAUUCUUACUUUGGUUGCUUUUCUUGCCUAGAACAUCAUGAUGGUCGAUGCUAUUACUUUGUCUUGUCAUUUAAACUGACAUAUAUUACUUUUAAUGCCUUUGGGGUAUUAUUUUGAUCCGACUAAACAUGGAUCAAACUUAUGUGUAUCCACUUUUUUUAGAUCAUUUGUUUUAAGUUUUAAGUUGUAAUAUUUAUUUUCCUCUCGUUAGACUUUGGACUCUUUUUUUAUCUUUGGUUGAUCCUUGUUUGUUUGUGUGGGUGAGUAGAGACAUUGGACACCUUUGAAGUGAUCCUUUAGGGUGCUUGCUUUCAUUGCUUAUGGUGCUUUCUCGCCUAGUAUAUGACUUUUUUUUAUGGUUUCUCACAUAUUGAACUUUGAAUGCCUUUGUGUUAUUAGUUUGAUCUGACUAAACAGGGGUCAAACUUGAUGUAUAUCCACUUAUUUGUUUUUCUUUUCUAAUUUUUCUUUCUUAUUUUCACCUUUUCCAUUUGUGGUUGCAUGUUUUAGUUCAGUUGUAUUACAAUUUUUCUAGUGUUAUUUUCCUUUUAUAGAUUGUAUUUAGGAACGAAACCUUGUAAUUUUAGAUCAUUUGUCGUAGGUUUUGAGUUGUAAUUAUUUGUUUUUUUUUUUGUUUGUUUGUGUGGGUGAGAAAUAAGAUCCUUUUUUGUUUGUUUGUGUCUUUGUCUUAUUAUUUAAACUGACAUAUAUAACUUUUUUUUACGGUUACUCAUAUAUGACUUUUAAUACAUUUGGCUUAUUAUUUUGAUCCGACUAAACAUGGAUAAAACUUAUGUGUAUCCACUUUUUUUUUCCAAUUUUUUCUUUAUUAUUUAACCUUUUUCACCUAUUAGGAUUUCCUUUUUCUUUUAUAGACCGUACUUAGGACCAAGGUAAUUUUUAGAUAAUUUGUUUAGGUUUUGAGUUCUAAUAUUUCUUUUCCUCUCGUUAGACUUUGGACCUUUCUUUGGGAUCUUUUAGUUGAUCCUUGUUUGUUUGUGUGGGUGAGUAGAGACAUUAGAAAUAGGAUUCUUUGAAGUGAUCCUUUAGGGUGCUUGCUUUCAUUACUUUAUACAUGCUUUCUCGCCUAGUAUAUUUUCAUGAUGGCCGAUGUUAUGAGUGAUUUUGUCUUAUUAUUUAAACAAACAUAUAUGACUCUGAAUCCAAUGUCUUAUUAUUUUUAUCUGACUAAAGAGGGAUCAAACUUGAUGUAUAUCCCCUUAUUUUCUUUUUUGUUUAUGUCUAAUUUUUCUCUUAUUUUCAUAUUUUCCAAUUACUUGUUUUAGUAAAUUUGUAUUAGGAUUUUUCCGGUGUCCUUUUUCUUUUAAUAUUUUUGUCUUAAGUUUUUAGUUCUAAUUUUCUCUAACUUUAGACUUUUUUUGGGAUCCUUUGGUUGAUACUAAUUGUUUGUUUGUGUGCGUGAAUAGAGAGACAUUUGACACUACUCGAAAUAUGAUCAUUUGGAGUGAUUCUCUAAAGGUGCUUGCUUUGAGUGUUUUAUAUAUCUUCAUGAUGGUCGAUGCUAUGAGUGUCUUUGUGUUAUUAUUUAAACUUGUGUAUAUGACUUUUUUUAUGACUCGGAAUGCCUUUUGCUUAUUUAUUUGAUAUGGCUAAAUGUGGAUCAAACUUGAUGUAUGUAUAUCCACUUACAUUUUCAAUUAUUUGUAUUGGUUGUCACAUUUGUACUAGUAUUUCUCCAAUGUACUUUUUCAUUUAUAGAUUGUAUUUAGGACCAAAGCCUUGUAAUAUAUUGUCUUAGGUUCUAAGUUUAAAUUUUUCUUUUUGGACAUUUGGACAUUUUUUAGGGUCCUGCUUUUUCACCUAGUAUAUUUUUAUGAUG